RNAcentral lists this ribosomal RNA (528 nucleotides) under uncultured bacterium. RNAcentral's name for it is "bacterial SSU rRNA". It matches the Rfam family "Bacterial small subunit ribosomal RNA", at positions 777 to 1304 of the family's 1533-position model. The record is from RNAcentral.
AAUAGAUACCCGGUAGUCCACGCCGUAAACGAUGAGUGCUAAGUGUUAGGGGGUUUCCGCCCCUUAGUGCUGCAGCUAACGCAUUAAGCACUCCGCCUGGGGAGUACGGCCGCAAGGCUGAAACUCAAAGGAAUUGACGGGGGCCCGCACAAGCGGUGGAGCAUGUGGUUUAAUUCGAAGCAACGCGAAGAACCUUACCAGGUCUUGACAUCCUCUGACAAUCCUAGAGAUAGGACGUUCCCCUUCGGGGGACAGAGUGACAGGUGGUGCAUGGUUGUCGUCAGCUCGUGUCGUGAGAUGUUGGGUUAAGUCCCGCAACGAGCGCAACCCUUGAUCUUAGUUGCCAGCAUUCAGUUGGGCACUCUAAGGUGACUGCCGGUGACAAACCGGAGGAAGGUGGGGAUGACGUCAAAUCACCAUGCCCCUUAUGACCUGGGCUACACACGUGCUACAAUGGAUGGUACAAAGGGCUGCAAGACCGCGAGGUUUAGCCAAUCCCAUAAAACCAUUCUCAGUUCGGAUUGCAGG